RNAcentral lists this ribosomal RNA (279 nucleotides) under uncultured bacterium. RNAcentral describes it as "partial 16S ribosomal RNA". It matches the Rfam family "Bacterial small subunit ribosomal RNA", at positions 506 to 784 of the family's 1533-position model. The record is from RNAcentral.
UGCCAGCCGCCGCGGUAAAACCAGCACCUCAAGUGGUCAGGAUGAUUAUUGGGCGUAAAGCGUACGUAGGCGGUUUGUUAAGUCAAAUCUGAAAGCCCCCAGCUUAACUGGGGAGGGUGAUUUGAAACUGGCAGACUUGAGUAUGGCAGAGGUAAGUGGAAUUUCAUGCGUAGCGGUGGAAUGCGUAGAUAUAUGAAGGAACACCAGUGGCGAAGGCGGCUUACUGGACCAGAACUGACGCUGAUGUACGAAAGCGUGGGGAGCAAACAGGAUUAGAUA